RNAcentral lists this long non-coding RNA (849 nucleotides) under Homo sapiens (human). RNAcentral describes it as "HSALNT0302215". Lineage: Eukaryota; Metazoa; Chordata; Mammalia; Primates; Hominidae. The record is from RNAcentral.
GUCAGGCUUAAUGACCAAGCUGAGCUAAUGUCAAUAAACAGAGAACUAUUAGGAAAUUCAUUAAUCAAGGUCUUGUUUAUACUCCUAUUUGUCAACCAAAUUAUUUGCUUGACUUGUGACCUCCUUGGUUUAUUAUGGCCAUUUCUGUCAUCAGCAGAGCUGGGCUGCUGGAAUUUCACACAUAGGUAGUCCUGCCUCUGUCUUCAGCAUGCUCCUGGUCAGCCUUCUCCCAGAAUCACACCUCUGAGCAGGGGCCAAGGAAUGAGCCCAGGAAGUUGACCUUUGAAGCACUCUCCUGCUCUUGGGGCCAUGUCAUCAGGAAGAAACUCCAGGCUGAAAACACAACUGCAAGGCCAACAGGCAGGGGAGCAGCUUUCUCAGGACACCUGAGGUCCUGCCCCACCAGGCUCUGGUCUUUACACACCAUCUCUCACUGUCCUCUAGCCCCAACUGCACAUUGCCUUCCUCCUUCCUGAGCUCAUGCUUGCCCCUCCCUCGGCAUCUCCCUAGCCCCAGCCUGAAGGCUGACCUCCUCCAGAAAGCCUCUCCCUCACCACGAGGCCAGAAAGAGUCUGUCCUGUCUCUAGCUUCUGAGUUUCUUAGUCCCAACGACUGUCCCUGCUCCACUGACACCUUCCAUACACAGCUUUGUGAGCUGUGCGCAUCUGUGGGUACCAGAGGGUAAGUUCGAGGGCCAGCUGACGCCUACUGUCUCUACUGUCUCACAGAUCUGCAUUGGGUUUCCUUGGUCCCAAUCCCCCACAGACACACACACAUGUACACACUCACACACACAACGCUGGACCAAUAGAGAGAACUUUAUCAGUAAAAUGUAACUAUUUCAUUACA